Vanessa tameamea is the source of this 402-nucleotide long non-coding RNA. RefSeq lists it as uncharacterized. The record is from RefSeq and is a predicted model, not a curated record. The transcript has 3 exons. Lineage: Eukaryota; Metazoa; Arthropoda; Insecta; Lepidoptera; Nymphalidae.
GAACUACAACAAAAACAAUAUCCUUUGUGUUGUGUGUGUUUUUGUGGUUUGGAAUGUAUGAUUCACGCACUAUGGAACUGCUGUGCGUGCCGACGACGGUGCAACAAAGAGACCUAAGGAAGGAAGGCGGAACUCCCUAUACCUGAUGGAAGAUGCUGAAUGUGAAGAAGAAGGAUUUUUAAAGGCCCUUACUGCGCGCGUCUAUCUACGCAGAUGGCGCACUACAGUGAUGCAAUCAGAACAUAGCGGCAAACAAGAUUAAAAAAUAAUGUAAUUUUAUGUAUUUAAGCUGAUAAAGAUCAAGGAGUGAUAAAAAUACAUUAAAUUGGUAAUUAUUAUAACACUUCCUUCAAUUUUAUAAGCAGUUUAAUUAAUAAUCAGAUAUUUUUGGAAUAUCAUAAU